ACCAAUCCUUCUAUUCCACCAUUGCGCCUAUGACUAAGUCGGCGUCUCCUUGCGCCUGCGGCUCCACGGCAACUUCCUCGACACCGAAUACCCCGACUCGACAUAGACCACGGCGUUCUUCGCACGGCUACCUCGACCACGGCUACAUCAUCCUACGCUCUCGGCUACCUCGACAAACGCACAAAGGGCUAUCGCCUUCCUUGAGCAACCUCGUCAGUUUUCACUCCAGCCAAAACUUCCGCGAUACAUCGACUGUUACGACUGUGGGGGGAUGAUCGUCG
RNAcentral lists this long non-coding RNA (281 nucleotides) under Hordeum vulgare. Its description in RNAcentral is "long non-coding RNA (HVUL_LNC005146)". The record is from RNAcentral. Lineage: Eukaryota; Viridiplantae; Streptophyta; Magnoliopsida; Poales; Poaceae.